Molecule: ribosomal RNA, 463 nt
Filed under: uncultured bacterium
Lineage: Bacteria
Description: bacterial SSU rRNA
Rfam family: Bacterial small subunit ribosomal RNA
Source: RNAcentral
AACGAACGCUGGCGGCAUGCCUAACACAUGCAAGUCGAACGAGACCUUCGGGUCUAGUGGCGCACGGGUGCGUAACGCGUGGGAACCUGCCUUUAGGUUCGGAAUAACUCAGAGAAAUUUGAGCUAAUACCGGAUAAUGUCUUCGGACCAAAGAUUUAUCGCCAAAGGAUUGGCCCGCGUUGGAUUAGGUAGUUGGUGGGGUAAUGGCCUACCAAGCCUACGAUCCAUAGCUGGUUUGAGAGGAUGAUCAGCAACACUGGGACUGAGACACGGCCCAGACUCCUACGGGAGGCAGCAGUGGGGAAUCUUAGACAAUGGGCGCAAGCCUGAUCUAGCCAUGCCGCGUGAGCGAUGAAGGCCCUUAGGGUUGUAAAGCUCUUUCGUGGGGGAAGAUAAUGACGGUACCCCAAGAAGAAGCCCCCGGCUAAACUCCGUGCCAGCAGCCGCGGUAAAGUGACUACUG